CUUUAUUAAUCUUUACGUAUUUAAAAACUUCACGAGAGCCCAAUGUUUAAACCUAUAAUUUCGUGAAUAUCCUUUUUUCCCAAAAACAUCCAGCUAUUUAUUGAUUUCAAUAAAAAAACUUGUGACUUAAAGUUCCGAUUUUAUUUCCAUAACAUCUUCGACACAAAAACCAUAUGAAAUUCCUAAUGAAAGUGAAGAUGCGUCAUUGACCAACAGUAACGGUAUACCAAUAGUGUGGAUAGUCAUUGGGUUGAGCGUUAUUAUUGCGGUUGUCAUUAUUUCAACGGUCAUCGUAUUGGUCAGAAAACGAUUUUUAAAGAAGAAUCAACACGUAAAUACAAGUGAACCUCAGCCUGUCCAACAUGGGUUCAGAAAGCAACCUAGUUUAUGCAGAUAUAGACAUCGAACAUUUGGAGACAGCCAGCAAACCAUCUGCGAGACAGAAGCCGCCAAGUCCGACAGAAUAUGCUGGCGUUGAUUUUAUCAGAACAGAACGUGGAUCAAACAGUGACAAUAUUAUUACCUUAUGUCAGGGAAGAUAAUAACUUUACAUACAUGCUCACAAGCUGAUGUACUCAUAUACAAAACAUGCCGUGGCAUGGUAUCCGUCCGUGUGUCCGUAAACAAUUGCUUGCAAAUCCGGUGUUUAAGUUUGAUUGUAUCUCAAUAAAACUCAUACAGUAGUUAGAUAUCUAAAAGAGCUAGAUUUUUCCCUUAAACCAGCCAGAUCUGCUUAUGCAUGAGUGGAUUUGGGCCCUUGAAAUACUUUAUCCCUAGCAGAAGUAUACUCUAAGGGAGGCAAACUGUACAUAGAGAUGUGUCGUAUUGUAGUGAUGAUCUCCUUUUGCCGUCUGUGAUCCAUGAGGAUCAUUGAUUGCUUCCCUUUGAAUGUGGGCUCCGUAAUGUGCCUGUAAUUAGUAUGUACAUUCUUGGGGUAAAAACAAACAAACCAAAAAAGUCCAUUCGGUGGAACAUAGGACAUCAUGGGCAUCUUGUUAUACUUCUUCAAAUAUAUGGACGCCUUGUAAGAUGUUUUGUCUUUACCAUCUGUGUAAUGAUGUAUUUGUACAUUCUUGUGUUUGUAUAUUGUUGCGUGUGUGUUUUUCUCAAUCUUUUCACGUUUGUAACUAUAAAAUAUUCAUUAUAGGUUUUUUUA
Mya arenaria is the source of this 1156-nucleotide long non-coding RNA. RefSeq lists it as uncharacterized. The transcript has 4 exons. The record is from RefSeq and is a predicted model, not a curated record. NCBI's taxonomy places the organism in Eukaryota, Metazoa, Mollusca, Bivalvia, Myida, Myidae.